RNAcentral lists this ribosomal RNA (253 nucleotides) under uncultured bacterium. Its description in RNAcentral is "partial 16S ribosomal RNA". It matches the Rfam family "Bacterial small subunit ribosomal RNA", at positions 524 to 776 of the family's 1533-position model. The record is from RNAcentral.
UACGAGGGGGGCAAGCGUUGUUCGGAAUUAUUGGGCGUAAAGGGCGCGUAGGCGGUGCGGUAAGUCUGAUGUGAAAUCUCCGGGCUCAACUCGGAGUCUGCAUCAGAAACUGCCGUGCUCGAGUGUGGGAGAGGUGAGUGGAAUUUCCGGUGUAGCGGUGAAAUGCGUAGAUAUCGGAAGGAACACCUGUGGCGAAAGUGGCUCACUGGACCAUAACUGACGCUGAUGCACGAAAGCUAGGGGAGCAAACAGG